Molecule: ribosomal RNA, 460 nt
Filed under: uncultured bacterium
Lineage: Bacteria
Description: partial 16S ribosomal RNA
Rfam family: Bacterial small subunit ribosomal RNA
Source: RNAcentral
CCUACGGGAGGCAGCAGUGAGGAAUAUUGGUCAAUGGACGCAAGUCUGAACCAGCCAAGCCGCGUGCAGGAAGACGGCUCUAUGGGUUGUAAACUGCUUUUGUACGGGGGUAAACGCAGCUACGCGUGUCUGUCUUAAAGGAUCGUACGAAUAAGGAUCGGCUAACCCCGGGCCAGCCGCCGCGGGAAUACGGAGGAUUCAAGCGUUAUCCGGAUUUAUUGGGUUUAAAGGGUGCGUAGGGGGGCGGAUAAGUUAGAUGUGAAAUCUCGAGGCUCAACUUCGGAAUUGCCUUUGAUACUGUUGUGCUAGAGAGUAGUAGCGGUAGGCGGAAUGCAUGGUGUAGCGGUGAAAUGCUUAGAGAUCAUACAGAACACCGAUUGCGAAGGCAGCUUACCAAGCUACUACUGACGUUGAGGCACGAAAGCGUGGGGAGCAAACAGGAUUAGAUACCCUAGUAGUC